UUUGUUGACUUGGUCCACUGA
RNAcentral lists this non-coding RNA (21 nucleotides) under Rattus norvegicus (Norway rat). Lineage: Eukaryota; Metazoa; Chordata; Mammalia; Rodentia; Muridae. The record is from RNAcentral.